Long non-coding RNA from Dioscorea cayenensis subsp. rotundata (Guinea yam), 383 nucleotides. RefSeq lists it as uncharacterized. The record is from RefSeq and is a predicted model, not a curated record. The transcript has 3 exons. Lineage: Eukaryota; Viridiplantae; Streptophyta; Magnoliopsida; Dioscoreales; Dioscoreaceae.
CCCUUCUCCUUGCCCAUCUUCAUCCCUUCUCAUUGUUGCCGGAGGAUCGAGGUUUUUUCCCCGCGGAUGCUCCUCGAAACCCUAAACCUUCUUGCAGGUUAGUGAAGAAGUGGAGCUUGCUUUAGCGAAGUUGGGGCCUGCCAAGCUUGGUACCAUGUGUGACUUGUGGGAACUAUCAACUUAAUUGAUAAGACUCUGAAGUUCUGAUCUGGAAAUUAUUUUGCAGCCCGAUUCUUGCAUUUUGUUAGAAAAAGAUCAGGAGUAGAAUUAGAGGGGUGGACAGCUUAGCGAGGUCGUUGAGCAAGUCGCCGUCUAGUUCUUUAUCAAGUUAAUAAACUUCCUUGUUGUGGAUUUAAAACUUCUUGUCUUAUGUUUAAAUGUCA